AAUAGAUACCCUGGUAGUCCUAGCCGUAAACGAUGGACGCUAGGUGUUGGUGGUAUCAACCCCACCAGUGCCGAAGCUAACGCAUUAAGUGUCCCGCCUGGGGAGUACGGCCGCAAGGCUAAAACUCAAAGGAAUUGACGGGGCCCCGCACAAGCAGCGGAGCGUGGGGUUUAAUUCGAUGCAACGCGAAGAACCUUACCAGGGCUUGACAUAACCAGGAAUCCGGCGGAAACGUCGGCGUCCCGCAAGGGACCUGGCCACAGGUGUUGCAUGGCUGUCGUCAGCUCGUGUCGUGAGAUGUUGGGUUAGGUCCCGCAACGAGCGCAACCCCUAUCGUGUGUUGUAUCACUCACACGAGACUGCCGAGAGAAACUCGGAGGAAGGCGGGGAUGACGUCAAGUCAGCAUGGCCCUUACGUCCUGGGCUACACCCACGCUACAAUGGCCGGUACAACGGGCUGCGAAACCGCGAGGUGGAGCUAAUCCCUUAAAGCCGGUCUCAGUUCGGAUUGUAGGCUGCAACUCGCCUACAUGAAGCCGGAGUUG
RNAcentral lists this ribosomal RNA (545 nucleotides) under uncultured bacterium. Its description in RNAcentral is "bacterial SSU rRNA". It matches the Rfam family "Bacterial small subunit ribosomal RNA", at positions 777 to 1334 of the family's 1533-position model. The record is from RNAcentral.